RNAcentral lists this ribosomal RNA (449 nucleotides) under uncultured organism. RNAcentral describes it as "partial 16S ribosomal RNA". It matches the Rfam family "Bacterial small subunit ribosomal RNA", at positions 330 to 796 of the family's 1533-position model. The record is from RNAcentral.
CGUACACUCCUACGGGAGGCAGCAGUGGGGAAUAUUGGACAAUGGGCGCAAGCCUGAUCCAGCCAUGCCGCGUGAGUGAUGAAGGCCCUAGGGUUGUAAAGCUCUUUCACCGGGGAAGAUAAUGACGGUAACCGGAGAAGAAGCCCCGGCUAACUUCGUGCCAGCAGCCGCGGUAAUACGAAGGGGGCUAGCGUUGUUCGGAUUUACUGGGCGUAAAGCGCACGUAGGCGGACUAUUAAGUCAGGGGUGAAAUCCCGGGGCUCAACCCCGGAACUGCCUUUGAUACUGGUAGUCUUGAGUUCGAGAGAGGUGAGUGGAAUUCCGAGUGUAGAGGUGAAAUUCGUAGAUAUUCGGAGGAACACCAGUGGCGAAGGCGGCUCACUGGCUCGAUACUGACGCUGAGGUGCGAAAGCGUGGGGAGCAAACAGGAUUAGAUACCCCAGUAGUCC